This 195-nucleotide ribosomal RNA is filed under the name Triticum aestivum (bread wheat). Its description in RNAcentral is "partial small subunit ribosomal RNA". The record is from RNAcentral. Lineage: Eukaryota; Viridiplantae; Streptophyta; Magnoliopsida; Poales; Poaceae.
AUGUCCGGCGGCGACCCGCACGUCUGCGGCCUCUCCGACGACCAUGACCCCACUUGCUGGGAGUGGCCCGGCCUUGCCCUCCCCAAGGGCCUCGACUUCUCCCUCACCGCACUCGGCCAAGACUUCCUCUGCGGCAUCGUGAAAGGCAACGACACCGCCAUGAGGUGCUACGCCGGUGGCAUGCCGCCGACAUGA